This is a long non-coding RNA of Amphimedon queenslandica, 304 nucleotides long. RefSeq lists it as uncharacterized. The record is from RefSeq and is a predicted model, not a curated record. NCBI's taxonomy places the organism in Eukaryota, Metazoa, Porifera, Demospongiae, Haplosclerida, Niphatidae. The transcript is spliced from 3 exons.
UAUGAUCCUUAACUUCAUUAUUAUCCAGUGGUCUACAGUGUCUUUAAUGCUAUGAUCAUUGCUGCCAUUCAUCCACUGGAAUACUGUAGAAUGUUUAGCUAUAACACUCCAGAUGGUCCCUCUCUCUUACAAACUCUGUCUUUGUCAUCAUUUCAUAAAAUCUGGGUCUCUCCUGAUCUAGGAGUGUCUCUUAAUUCAUUGGAUCAAUGUUCCCUCCCACUCAAUGCACUGGAGACCGGAACUGAGACAUAGUGUCAUUCUUCCUUAGGAAUAGAGAAAUAUGUGCUGUAUCACGUCAUUCAAA